RNAcentral lists this ribosomal RNA (192 nucleotides) under uncultured Glomus. RNAcentral's name for it is "partial small subunit ribosomal RNA". It matches the Rfam family "Eukaryotic small subunit ribosomal RNA", at positions 591 to 786 of the family's 1831-position model. Lineage: Eukaryota; Fungi; Glomeromycota; Glomeromycetes; Glomerales; Glomeraceae. The record is from RNAcentral.
CUCAUAGCGUAUAUUAAGUUGUUGCAGUUAAAAAGCUCGUAGUUGAAUUUCGGGGUUAGUAGGUUGGUCAUGCCUCUGGUAUGUACUGGUCUCACUGAUUCCUCCUUCCUGAUGAACCGUAAUGCCAUUAAUUUGGUGUUGCGGGGAAUUUGGACUGUUACUUUGAAAAAAUUAGAGUGUUUAAAGCAGGCC